This is a non-coding RNA of Parelaphostrongylus tenuis, 73 nucleotides long. NCBI's taxonomy places the organism in Eukaryota, Metazoa, Nematoda, Chromadorea, Rhabditida, Metastrongylidae. The record is from the annotation of a GenBank genome assembly.
GGCCUGUGUGGUGUAGUGAUAGCACGAGUCCUCGGCAUGGAUGAGACGCGAGUUCAACUCCCGUAUGAGGUCG